This is a long non-coding RNA of Dermacentor silvarum, 1290 nucleotides long. RefSeq lists it as uncharacterized. The transcript has 3 exons. Lineage: Eukaryota; Metazoa; Arthropoda; Arachnida; Ixodida; Ixodidae. The record is from RefSeq and is a predicted model, not a curated record.
UAUAUAUCUUGAUGUGGUCCGCUGAAAUGGCGCCUGCGCAGUUGUCCCGCUUUACACGGCAGUACGGCCAGGUUGGUCGAAGCUUCCAAAGUUGAAGGCAGAUGAUACUUUUCGUAGCUGACCACGAUGGCGAACUUUCCACGGGCCCGAGCGGCAGGCACUGCUAUGUCCGCGCAGCGUCGAUUCCUGCAACAACGUGAAGACAGUGCAGAGGUCAGCGGUGAUUGCAAGGUGCUGCUGCCGCCGCCGAAAUGACCGCCACCGCAGGAAGGGACGCUAUAUAUCUUGAUGUGGUCCGCUGAAAUGGCGCCUGCGCAGUUGUCCCGCUUUACACGGCAGUACGGCCAGGUUGGUCGAAGCUUCCAAAUCUGAAGGCAGAUGACACAUUUCUUAGCUGGCCACGAUGGCGAACUUUCCACGGGCCCGAGCGGCAGGCACUGCUAUGUCCGCGCAGCGUCGAUUCCUGCAACAACGUGAAGACAGUGCAGAGGUCAGCGGUGAUUGCAAGGUGCUGCUGCCGCCGCCGAAAUGACCGCCACCGCAGGAAGGGACGCUAUAUAUCUUGAUGUGGUCCGCUGAAAUGGCGCCUGCGCAGUUGUCCCGCUUUACACGGCAGUACGGCCAGGUUGGUCGAAGCUUCCAAAUCUGAAGGCAGAUGACACAUUUCUUAGCUGGCCACGAUGGCGAACUUUCCACGGGCCCGAGCGGCAGGCACUGCUAUGUCCGCGCAGCGUCGAUUCCUGCAACAACGUGAAGACAGUGCAGAAGUCAGCGGUGAUUGCAAGGUGCUGCUGCCGCCGCCGAAAUGACCGCCACCGCAGGAAGGGACGCUAUAUAUCUUGAUGUGGUCCGCUGAAAUGGCGCCUGCGCAGUUGUCCCGCUUUACACGGCAGUACGGCCAGGUUGGUCGAAGCUUCCAAAUCUGAAGGCAGAUGACACAUUUCUUAGCUGGCCACGAUGGCGAACUUUCCACGGGCCCGAGCGGCAGGCACUGCUAUGUCCGCGCAGCGUCGAUUCCUGCAACAACGUGAAGACAGUGCAGAAGUCAGCGGUGAUUGCAAGGUGCUGCUGCCGCCGCCGAAAUGACCGCCACCGCAGGAAGGGACGCUAUAUAUCUUGAUGUGGUCCGCUGAAAUGGCGCCUGCGCAGUUGUCCCGCUUUACACGGCAGUACGGCCAGGUUGGUCGAAGCUUCCAAAGUUGAAGGCAGAUGAUACUUUUCGUAGCUGACCACGAUGGCGAACUUUCCACGGGCCCGAGCGGCAGGCACUGCUAUGUCCGCGCAGCGUCG